This is a long non-coding RNA of Pleuronectes platessa (European plaice), 521 nucleotides long. RefSeq lists it as uncharacterized. NCBI's taxonomy places the organism in Eukaryota, Metazoa, Chordata, Actinopteri, Pleuronectiformes, Pleuronectidae. The transcript is spliced from 2 exons. The record is from RefSeq and is a predicted model, not a curated record.
CUACACAACCUCUGCAAGCGGAGGAACAUUCCACAGCCAGACGAUGAUGACGAUGAAGAGGACGAUGACCCCGAUGAUGAUGAUGAUGGCGCUCGACAACAUGACAAUGAAUUUGGCCGUGUGGAACCGAGUGGACUGGCAUUUAGGGAUCACUUUGUGAAUACACAUUUUAGUGAACUGGUACCAGCAGCAGGAGGGAGAGGAGAGCCAGUGGGUGCACCAAGAGGGAGAGUUGGAAGAGAAAGGGGUGGAAGAGGAAGAGCUGUGAGAGGAGGUGCAGCUGGGAGAGGAAGAGCUGUGAGAGGAGGUGCUGCUGGAAGAGGAAGAGCUGGCAGAGGAAGGGCUAGGAGGGGGAGAAGAGGAAGAGCUGUGUGAUGUGAUGCUGCAGCUGGACUUUCAUCUUCAUUUCUCCUGUGGGGAAUAUAUAUAUAUUUAAUUUGUAACACAUUUUUGGGAAGUGGGUUGACCAGUUGCACGUUGUAAUUCUUCUGUAAAUAUUAAACAGAAAGGUUUUUCAUGAA